AUUGAACGCUGGCGGCAUGCUUUACACAUGCAAGUCGAACGGUAACAGGCCUUCGGGUGCUGACGCGUGGCGGACGGGUGAGUAAUGCAUCGGAACGUACCCAGAGGUGGGGGAUAACGCAGCGAAAGCUGUCCUAAUCCCGCAUCUGAUCUGAGGAUCAGAUCGGGGGACCGGGCAGCAAUGUUUGGCCUCGCGCCUUUGGAGCGGCCGAUGUCGGAUUAGCUAGUUGGUGGGGUAAUGGCCUACCAAGGCGGCGAUCCGUAGCUGGUCUGAGAGGACGAUAGGCGACAUGGGGAGGGAGACAGGGCCAAGAGGCCUAAGGGAGGCAGCAGUGGGGAAUGUGGGACAAUGGGCGCAAGCCUGAUCCAGCAAGGCCGAGUGCGGGAAGAAGGCGUUCGGGUCGUAAACAGCGUUUGGGAGGAACGAAACGGUGUCCGCUAAUACCGGGCGCUAAUGACGGUACCGGCAGAAGAAGCACCGGCUAACUACGUG
This 492-nucleotide ribosomal RNA is filed under the name uncultured bacterium. RNAcentral's name for it is "partial 16S ribosomal RNA". It matches the Rfam family "Bacterial small subunit ribosomal RNA", at positions 29 to 507 of the family's 1533-position model. The record is from RNAcentral.